Molecule: ribosomal RNA, 354 nt
Filed under: uncultured bacterium
Lineage: Bacteria
Description: bacterial SSU rRNA
Rfam family: Bacterial small subunit ribosomal RNA
Source: RNAcentral
AAAGAGAGAUUAAUACCCGUAAUAAAUUGAACGGCAUCGUUUGAUUUGAAAGCUCCGGCGGUUUGAGAUGAGUAUGCGUCUGAUUAGCUAGUUGGUGAGGUAACGGCUCACCAAGGCGACGAUCAGUAGGGGAUCUGAGAGGACUAACCCCCACACUGGUACUGAGACACGGACCAGACUCCUACGGGAGGCAGCAGUAAGGAAUAUUGGUCAAUGGAGGCAACUCUGAACCAGCCAAUGCCGCGUGCAGGAUGACGGCCCUAUGGGUUGUAAACUGCUUUUAUACAAGAGAAAAACCCUGGUACGUGUACCAGGUUGAUAGUAUUGUAAGAAUAAGCAUCGGCUAACUUCGUG